Long non-coding RNA from Procambarus clarkii (red swamp crayfish), 294 nucleotides. RefSeq lists it as uncharacterized. The record is from RefSeq and is a predicted model, not a curated record. NCBI's taxonomy places the organism in Eukaryota, Metazoa, Arthropoda, Malacostraca, Decapoda, Cambaridae.
AGAAAGUGCAGUGGCCUGUUGGACCACCUGGACAGCGAGGCGCGAGAGUUGGAAGUGUUUCCACCAUUACGUUAGAUACUCCUCUGCCGCAGAUUUGGAAGAUUUGCAAUAUUGUGGGUUGUAGAAGGUCCUUCCAACAACUUCAGGAACAGUUGCAGAACAAUCGCUGGAAGUGUUAAAUGCUACAGAAAGUAGCAUAGUUGUCAGAAUUAGAGGGCCAAAAAUAUUGAUGGGAAAGUCGAACUUCAGCCCUGAGUUUGAAGGUGUUAAUUGCUUGACAUUCAGAAUUAGGCG